GGAUUACUCCUUUACGCUUUCGCGUUUGGUUGAUAAAGAUUCGCACCUCUAUCAAACCGGGUAAUCCCACCUCUUGGCAAGACCUGCUGUCAGAUCAAAUCUGAACUACUACAAUUGAUGGCACUGGACCAUAUUCGCGAUUAUUGGACACCCAUGGGGUUUUCACCGCUAGAUCUUUCGCAUACCUCACCCGCCUGGUUU
This 201-nucleotide small RNA is filed under the name Nitrosomonas europaea ATCC 19718. RNAcentral describes it as "Proteobacterial sRNA psRNA2". It matches the Rfam family "Proteobacterial sRNA psRNA2". Lineage: Bacteria; Pseudomonadati; Pseudomonadota; Betaproteobacteria; Nitrosomonadales; Nitrosomonadaceae. The record is from Rfam by way of RNAcentral.